GUUCAAAGUGUUGAGUUCAGUCCUGCUGCUCGGUGCUGGUCUGAUAAUUAGACUUUGGAACAGAAACUUGCAGCAGAGACACAGUUUACAUCAUCUGUAUAUCUGGAGCCUCACUGCUGCUGACAUUA
Xiphias gladius (swordfish) is the source of this 128-nucleotide small nucleolar RNA. Lineage: Eukaryota; Metazoa; Chordata; Actinopteri; Istiophoriformes; Xiphiidae. The record is from RefSeq and is a predicted model, not a curated record.